UACCUACGGGACGCAGCAGUGAGGAAUAUUGGUCAAUGGGCGGGAGCCUGAACCAGCCAAGCCGCGUGAGGGAAGAAGGUACAGCGUAUCGUAAACCUCUUUUGUCAGGGAACAAAGGCGGGGACUAGUCCCCGGAUGAGGGUACCUGAAGAAAAAGCAUCGGCUAACUCCGUGCCAGCAGCCGCGGUAAUACGGAGGAUGCGAGCGUUAUCCGGAUUUAUUGGGUUUAAAGGGUGCGUAGGCGGACUGGAAAGUCAGCGGUAAAAUCGAGAGGCUCAACCUCUUUCCGCCGUUGAAACUGUCGG
RNAcentral lists this ribosomal RNA (305 nucleotides) under uncultured bacterium. Its description in RNAcentral is "bacterial SSU rRNA". It matches the Rfam family "Bacterial small subunit ribosomal RNA", at positions 335 to 639 of the family's 1533-position model. The record is from RNAcentral.